CCGCCCGUCACGUCAUGGGAGUCGGCAGCACCUGAAGCCGCUACGCCAACCCGCAAGGGAGGCAGGCGUCGAGGGUGAGGCUGGCGACUAGGACG
This 95-nucleotide ribosomal RNA is filed under the name uncultured bacterium. Its description in RNAcentral is "partial 16S ribosomal RNA". It matches the Rfam family "Bacterial small subunit ribosomal RNA", at positions 1390 to 1482 of the family's 1533-position model. The record is from RNAcentral.